AAUAUUGGGCAAUGCCCGCAAGGGUGACCCAGCAACGCCGCGUGGAGGAUGAAUGUCGUAAGAUUGUAAACUCCUGUUAGAGGGGAAGAAUAGUACCGGUUGGACCGGUAUAUGACUGUACCCUCAGAGAAAGCCCCGGCUAACUACGUGCCAGCAGCCGCGGUAAUACGUAGGGGGCAAGCGUUGUCCGGAUUUACUGGGUGUAAAGGGCGCGCAGGCGGGAUAAAAAGUCAGUGGUGAAAUCCUACAGCUUAACUGUAGAACUGUCUUUGAUACUUUUAUUCUUGAGUUCGGGAGAGAGAGACGGAAUUCCAGGUGGAGUGGUGAAAUACGUAGAUAUCUGGAAGAACACCAGUUGCGAAGGCGGUCUCUUGGUCCGACACUGACGCUGAGGCGCGAAAGCGUGGGGAGCAAACG
Molecule: ribosomal RNA, 417 nt
Filed under: uncultured bacterium
Lineage: Bacteria
Description: bacterial SSU rRNA
Rfam family: Bacterial small subunit ribosomal RNA
Source: RNAcentral